Molecule: long non-coding RNA, 2327 nt
Organism: Chiroxiphia lanceolata (lance-tailed manakin)
Lineage: Eukaryota; Metazoa; Chordata; Aves; Passeriformes; Pipridae
Exons: 4
Source: RefSeq, a predicted model, not a curated record
UCGCCUCGCCUCAGCCCGCUGGAAUCGUUCCCCUCAGCGCCUCACCCGCACCGAGGGGCGCUCCCCUCAGCGCCUCACCUCACAUCCCCCGGAGUUGCCCCCUCAGCGCCUUGUCCCGCUCCCCCAGGGUCGCCCCCCCGGGGAUCUCGCCCCCUCACGCAAUGGCCGCUCCCCUCAGCUCCCCAUCUCCCGCCACCGCUUCCUCAGCCCCAGAGCUGCUCCCUCAGCCCCUCACCCCGAGGGAGGGUGAGGCCACCAUUCCCCUAAGGGUUUCACCCUUCAGCUUCACCCACUUGGCCGAUAAGGCCCUUCUGAAUAGACCCUUUUCCCUCUUGGUCCCUCACGUUCCCCACAGGGUUGUUUCUCCCCUCCUGCACCUCUGCUCACCUGUAUUUUGUCUGCUCCCCCAUAGAAUAAUCUCCCUUUCUCCAUGCCUUGUCCCUCUCUGUCACCUCCUCACGGGAAUCCUGUCACCUCUCAAGCAGCUUUUUCCCAAAGGACUUGUGAGCAAACAGGUAUGUCCCUUAAAAUCCAUACCUCCAGAUUUAUCCAUGCAAUGAGGAUGCCAGAGGGUGUGAAGCAAAAGGGUUGCAACAGCACAGUAUGCAUGGAAAAAAUGGGAUGCAAAGGAAAAUUGAUCUUUCUGUCUUUUAGCCUCUCAUUUUGACAGCAUCACAUAACCUUCCUCAUUUUCAUCAGCCUAAUUUCACCCUCAGCUGCCUCAGACCUCGACCUGAGCCUGUUCAGAGACACAAAGUGUCACAGGCAGCUGUGCCUGGAUGUUCAGCAAAGUACUGGUGAGACAGAUCAUGCUAAUGAGAGAGAUGUGAUGGUAGAUGUUAAAUAUUCUUAGUGUAUAAUUGCUGUGGGGAUUCCCAUUACAAGUUCCUGCUUUUCAUGGAACAGUGACUCUGCACAACCAGAGACGGAACACCACGCAUUUAUUUACCUGUUUGAUCAGAUUAAAUUAUUUAAUAUAUUAGUGCAUUAUAACAAAUGUGCUGUGGUAUUGGAGGAAAAGCCUAUUCAGAGCUGGAGUAAGAUGAGAUCUACCUCCAAUGUUUUAUGUCCUAUUAAAUCUGGUUGGGAAGAAGCAUUAUUUCCAUGUAAUGGAUGACUACUCAACACGGGACCCACGCAAAGCCUCUUUGUAUCCCUGAUUCAGCAAUGUGAGCACUCACACAACUGUGCAGCUUGUUUUUGAGGCCAGUUCAUUUGAAACAGGGUUCAGGUAAGUUCGUACAACCAGUUAUUUAGAGAUCUGUGUGAUAGCUCAGUACACUGUAUUUGGUAUCCCUGCCAUUCAUGUGUCGGAGUGUAGAAGAGUCUCCAGGCCUGGUUUUAUUACAGAAAUAGAUAUUAUUUGCCUCUGUGCUGGAGUAAUUUUUGAACAGGGAGGGUAUGGAGAGCUGCCAUCAAAGGUUUUUGUGAGGCAGAAACUUCAUGGGCAUCUGUUAUUUUUGGUCCAGACACAACACAGAGAACAGGGGCUGCAGAUGGACCCUGAUCCUCCCGUGGGAGCCCUGCGAGGACUCAGAGGAGAGGGAAUGCUGAGAUUUGAAGAUUUUAUGGCAGGUGGGACGUGGCAGCUGAGUUCUGGCAGGCCACGUAUUCUGGAAGUCUCAUCAUUCCUCUGGGAUUUCCUCCAACUCGUCCACACCUCCCUUGAGCUGCUGCUAUUUAGAUGAACCCUCACCAAUGUGAAAUGUUCUGGACAGAUUCCUGUCUUCCAUGUAAUUCUGCUGCUCGGUGUCUCCGUGUCCUCUCUGCUCUCCCUGCAGCUGGGUGAUAUUGUUGCCUCAUUCUGGGCUUGUAAAUGAAAUAACAACUUCCACUUCAAUUCUGUUUGUGGUGUUUCAUGUGCACAAGCAAAGCAAGCUGGCAUUUAACACUGCUCUCCCUAAUCUCAUGUCUCAUUUUCUUACUCAAGUAGCCUUUCAUGGAGGGAAGGAUCUAAAUGCUGCCCAUCAGUGAGGAAGAGUGUUUGGGAGCUGAACAGAUCCCUGAGUGGUUGUCCUGAAUUUCUGAAUCUCAAAUGUCUCAGAAGGCUCAUUAUUAAUAUCCAAAAAUAGACAGAUGGCACAAACCAGUAAAGGCCAAAUAAUUCAUCAUUCCACAGAUUUGGGCUGGACUGGCCUGCAGGUGAAGCCAGGAUGGAUGAAAAUCAUUUCAUGCUGUUACAGAUCAGCCUGUUUCUCCUAAGGAUCCUGGUCCCAAAGGAUCCUCAUUCCAGGAGCAAAGCCAGUGGCUGCCUCCUUGAGACUGUUCCUGACACAGCAGCUGGACAGAGCCAGGCUGGAACUGCACCCAUGGGGUCACUGCACAUC